CAAUGGAAAAACAUGUCGCACAACUCCAAAUACUACGUAAAAAAGAUUCCUAAGAAACAAACUGGCACAACGAAAACGGCACCAGGUCAGACAUCUUGGUUCGGAUUCUAGUUUCAGGAUUGGAAACGAAAUCCUCAGCUGGAUCUGUAUCAGGAAUUCCAAGCGGAUCUGGUUCUUAGGCAGAGUUUUCCUGCGAUGAACUACAUGGUUGGAUUAGGCCGCAUCAUUCCAAGUAGUACUGCCAGUGUAGAGAGGAUCUUCAGUACCAUGAACUCCCUGUGCACAUCCUCACGCAGCAGAAUGAGUCAGUCGCUGUUGGACUCCCUCAUGAGAAUCUGCACCCAUGAGACGGAUUCUCUUGAUCCUGAUCAAUUGAACUCAAUGGUUGAUAAGUUCAGGGCCAUGAAAACAAGAGAAAUUAGUUUGUGACUGGAAAACUGUUGAUCAUGAUGGUGUUGUUAGUUAUUAAAGAUGUUGAACUCUUUCAUGUAGUUUUAAAUCCCAAUUUAUUUUCCCAAUUUCUUGAAAAUGCCGAUAAAAUUCCCAAUUCCAAAGCCAUGGGCUAUCUUCCCAAAAAGGGGAAAAAAA
Dreissena polymorpha is the source of this 588-nucleotide long non-coding RNA. RefSeq lists it as uncharacterized. The transcript has 3 exons. Lineage: Eukaryota; Metazoa; Mollusca; Bivalvia; Myida; Dreissenidae. The record is from RefSeq and is a predicted model, not a curated record.